AUUGAACGCUGGCGGCAUGCCUUACACAUGCAAGUCGAACGGCAGCACGGGUGCUUGCACCUGGUGGCGAGUGGCGAACGGGUGAGUAAUACAUCGGAACAUGUCCUGUAGUGGGGGAUAGCCCGGCGAAAGCCGGAUUAAUACCGCAUACGAUCUACGGAUGAAAGCGGGGGACCUUCGGGCCUCGCGCUAUAGGGUUGGCCGAUAGCUGAUUAGCUAGUUGGUGGGGUAAAGGCCUACCAAGGCGACGAUCAGUAGCUGGUCUGGGAGGACGACCAGCCACACUGGGACUGAGACACGGCCCAGACUCCUACGGGAGGCAGCAGUGGGGAAUUUUGGACAAUGGGCGAAAGCCUGAUCCAGCAAUGCCGCGUGUGUGAAGAAGGCCUUCGGGUUGUAAAGCACUUUUGUCCGGAAAGAAAUCCUUGGCUCUAAUACAGUCGGGGGAUGACGGUACCGGAAGAAUAAGCACCGGCUAACUACGUG
This 486-nucleotide ribosomal RNA is filed under the name uncultured bacterium. Its description in RNAcentral is "partial 16S ribosomal RNA". It matches the Rfam family "Bacterial small subunit ribosomal RNA", at positions 30 to 507 of the family's 1533-position model. The record is from RNAcentral.